RNAcentral lists this long non-coding RNA (199 nucleotides) under Solanum pimpinellifolium. RNAcentral describes it as "long non-coding RNA (SPIM_LNC000061)". The record is from RNAcentral. Lineage: Eukaryota; Viridiplantae; Streptophyta; Magnoliopsida; Solanales; Solanaceae.
UGGACCUGACCUAUUGAAUCAUGACUAUAUCCGCUAUUCUGAUAUUCAAAUUCGAUAGAGAUGAAAUUGGAGCAGUUUAUUUUUUUUAUUUCAUUUUUUUGUUUUGGACUCCACAAGAAUUUGUCGAUAUUUCCGAUUAAAUGUUCUUGUUACUAGAUUUUCUAUAGGAAAAAUUAUAGAAAUAAUUUGUUAUUCCUUU